Molecule: long non-coding RNA, 8751 nt
Filed under: Panax ginseng (ginseng)
Lineage: Eukaryota; Viridiplantae; Streptophyta; Magnoliopsida; Apiales; Araliaceae
Description: long non-coding RNA (PGIN_LNC009250)
Source: RNAcentral
AUUAUAAGUAUGAGCUGGAAUGAAAAUCCUGAGUCAUUAAAUUAGGAGUAAGCUGGAAGAAUAAGAAGCAGGAGCUGUGAUUUAUUGGAGUAAUAGAGUAGCCGCCAAGAAAAAUAAAAUAAAAUAAACAAUAAUAAGGGCAGCUCGGUUUGGCUAAGGAGAAAAGCAGCAUGAAGGCAUAGCUGGAGUUGAACUAUAAGAAUAAAACUAAGUUAAUUCAAUCUCUCUUUCUCUUCCCUGCUCCUCCACUUGGUCUCCUUCUUGCUCAAUUUCCUGCCGAACAAGCCCAGUCCCUCUUUACCUUUCAGUUUUGCCGAAUCAAACUCAUCCCGUCUAUCCUCAGUUAGCUAGGUCCAGAUAAGUGAGUAGCAAGGUUUUAAUCAAGCUCUAGCAAAUCAAAGGAAGAGCAUACAAGGAAUUGCAAUAAAUAAGCAAGGUAACAACAAUUAAUGAUUUGUUAAUAUUACAGUGUAUGUAUAUGGUUAUCAGUUAGCAAUUAAAAUUGAUUGGGUUAAUUAUGUUAUGAGCUAUGGCCAAAUGAUUAGGCAACAAAAAUAAAGAUAUGACAGUAGGUAUAUCUUGAAUUGAGGUAAGAAACUAAAAGUUAAGCUCAUAUGGUUAUAUUUAUGCAAAACAGUUAGUUAUAAGGAAAUUCAAGUUAGUUUGGCAAAGACAGGUAAUUUAUGAAAUGGGUAAGUUAACUGACAUAAAUUGUGGUAUGUAGCAAUAAUGAUAUGUGAUAUAGCUAAUUAUUAUCAAAUGAAGUGGAGUAUACAAAGUUUACUUAAAGUUAGUAAACUAGUUAAUGCAAGUAUAUUCAUGUAUGGUCUUCGUUAAAAAUUGGAUCCUUGUGGACUGAAUAAGAGCCAUGGAGAUUAGCGUGGUUGUGCAGAGUAAUAAGGUGGGAAAAAUUGGGCUAGAACACAAACCAAGCUCUAUGAAAACUGAAUUUUAAAGCGACACACACUAUGUGUUCGCUAAAACUCCUCCAAGGACUGUUUUUGUUAAAAAAUGAAAACUAAGCGAAGCCAAGACCCGAGUUAUAUAUAUACAUAUUAUAUAUAAGUAAUUAGAAAGUUUUGGUGAAUCGAAUUAAGAGGAAACAUUUUUGAGACAAAACGAAAAGUUGAAAACUAGUUUGGCUACUGACCUUGAGGCCAAUUUCGGGACUAGUUAUAUUUCAAGAAAAAUUCUGGGUUUUUGGGGAAGUAUAGUACACUGAAUAAGGAAUUCAUAGCCUCUAGAAUGGACUAAUUCCGACCUCGGAGGAGAGAGUUAUGGCAUUCCAAAGUAAGCGUGUCGAAUCUGUCCAAAAUCUGGAAAUCAGAUUCUGACCAGCCCGUUGCACGAAUUUUCUGGAAUGUUGUGUUAUGAAUUUGAAAAUGGUCAAAGACUAAAAGUUGUAGUUCCGGAGGUUAGCUUCACGUGGGCGCAAGAAUCGCUCAAAAAUGUUUUGAAACGAAAAAAUUGUGACUGUUUUAGCGAAAGAGGGUAAAGCUGGAAAUGAAUUGUCCACUUUUGACGCACUGUUUGGGCUGCCUAAUGAACCCGAAUUGGGUAAUUCGUAUUUUUUUUAAAAAUAGUCUUACAUACCACGUAUAACAUAUUCAAAAAUGAGCGCGAUCCGACAUGCGAGCUAAAAAUGGAAAAAUUGCAAAGUAGCCGCGUCGCGGAGGGGGCUGCUGCCCACAGCAGCACACAGACAGCAGCAGCGCACAAUAGUAGUUGGCUGGGGGCUGUUUUGGCCUCUUGUUUAACGCGUCUAAAUUACCCAAAAUGUUCGGUUAGCAUUUUUUUAAAAUAGGUGGACAUACCACCUAUAGCAUAUCCAAAAUUGGUCGGGAUCGGACGAAUGAGACGGAAACUAAAAAUAUGCAAAGUGGACGUAAGAACAUGUUCGUUGGCGGCCUACGCCAAGGCCGGUCUGGCCAAGCCAAGGGCAGCCGAGCCCAGUCCGACGCCGCGAUGUGGUUUUCAUAACGAAACGCAAUAUUUGACGUCGUGGCACGUAUUUCAAGGUGGCGACACAGAUUUUGAAGUUUUUGACAGUUUCACGUAUUUUGAGGCAUCGAGGCAGAUAUAGAACGCAGUUUAAAACCUAAAUAACGUGUACAACCGUUUGAAGCAUACUAGACGCUAUAAAAGCAAUAUGUAAACAUAAGUUUACAUGUACAUGGGUAAUAUAUCCGUGAGAUGGGAUAUGUUGACGUUAAUGAAAGCUAUUCCAAAGUUAUACCUCGGAACUGAACGGUUUUCGAAAUACAAAGCGAUAAUUGUGUAAACGGAGUUGAAAAUUCAACGCUUGACAUUAAUAAGGUAUGUGUAGGUAUAAGACAUACAAAUAGCAUAUGUCUACCUACAAACCAAGCAAAUGAGGCAAUGUUUAACAUUAUAAGAGAAGCGUAUAUGCAAAAACAUAUAUGUACUUCAUGUGUACAUGAAAUGGGAAAAAGUAAUGUAAUAUGAACGCAUUAAGCCUAGAAAGCUAAUAUUCGUGUGAAAUAGUAUUUAAAUUACUCACGAAAGCGAAAAUAAGAUAGAAUUAUGCAAAGUAAAGGCACAAAUGCACUAUAUGACUAUAAGUCUACAUAUAGAUACGUGUAAAGUCUGUAAAUGCAUUAUAAAAGGGUUAUGAACUGUAAAUGUAAUGAAUUGACAUUUUAAAAGCCGUGUUGGAACUUUUUGAGAAUGUAUAGCUAUAAUAAGCCGAAACCUAAAAUAUUCUAAAGGAAUAUGAAAGUUUCUUGGAAAUAAGAAUAUCUGAUAUUGAUAUAGUUUAUGUGAAUAUUGUUAGCUAUACAGGUUAUGAGAUAUGAAUCUGUGACUAAUGUAUGUAUACAUGUGAACAUAAUUGUGUAGGAUUCGGGAAGCGAAGUUAAACUAAAGUUUGUAUCAAGGGUCAUUGAACGAGGCAAGUUUUUCAGUUCUAUUAUGUUUGUGGAUUAAAUGUGAUUAUGUGUUGAGUUACAUACCAUGCUUUAUGAAUUGUUAAAGUCAAAAUAUGACUAAGUUAAUUGGGUUAUGGAACUCAAUUUAUAUGUGAUAUGUGAUAGCACACGUUGUAUGAUGUAACUCGAUAAAUUAGAAAUGUAUAAUGCAUGAAUGUAUGCUUUGUAAGGAAUUAUUGAUGCAUGUAGGAUAUGCAUAGUAAUGAAUAUAUGUUGCAUGCGAAUAUGCAUAGUAAGGGAAAUAUUGUAGUGCAUAUGGAAUUGUGUGCUAUGUGAAACAUGAUAGACUGUUAAAUUUGUUGGGCUGUCAAGUUCAAUCUUGCAAACGCAAACUUUUUGCAGGUUAAUGAUGUUAAGCAAUAUUACUUGCUAUACGGAUGAUGAAGAUUGAACGAUGUGCAAAAUGAAUACAUUUCCUUGAAUUAGAAAUGGUAUAAAUUUAUGAUUGAUAGUUUUGUCAAAUGUAAAUGGGCAGUUAUGUAUAGUUUGAAAUGUUGAAUGGAUAAAUAAUGUUUAUUCUGAAAUGAGAAUAAAUAUGAUUCUAGUAUAAAGAAGAAUUGUAAAGGUUGCGAUUCAGGGAAUGAAUGAAUGAAAAUAAAGAAGAAAACAAAAAUUAUUCCGCAUUUUUAGCUAUUUUAACAUUAAAUAAUGUUUUAAAGCUAUAACAAGGUAGUAUUAACGCACAAGAUCGGGAAGGGAAAUGGUCCCGAUUUUGGGGUCGUUACAACAUAUUUCAUGGAAACUGUAAACUCCUUGACCAGAUUUGUACUACAUGUUGCCUUAUACCAAAAAAUAAAAUAAAAUAAGGUUCAAUGCUUUUGUCUGUUUUUUCAAUGAGUGUGUGAGCAAUACAAUAAUAUAAAUAAAACUUUAUUUCAUAAAAUGAAUGCGUAAAAUACAAUGUUCGACUAGAUAUCCUUCUGAAUACAAAGGAAUAAAGCGGGAAUUGAAUAAACCAAUAAAAAAAUAAAUAAUAUGGAGUGUCAAUAUGACUUCCCUUAUUUGUUAGAAUAAUCUAGUCAUACUCUUGUAAAAAUGAUGGGCAUAGUGUGUUUUGUUUGUAUAAGAACUUGUUUAUAUACGGAUUUUAGGCACAAGAAGCAAGUGCUGGAUUCGUGGAAUUGUUAAUCCAGAUUUCUCAGUCAUAUCUAAGUCACCAAUUGAAAUCCCACUCGGUAGCUCCCAAUCAAAGCAAUGCAACAACUGAGCCAACACAAAUUGAAUGUUGAUCAAUCCUAGCUGCAUUCCAGGGCACCCUCUUCUACCUGACCCAAAUGGUAAUAGCUGGAAAUCACGUCCUCGAAGAUCUAUUUUGCUCCUAGUAAACCUCUCAGGAAGGAAUUCUUCAACGUCUUCAGACCACACAUUAGGAUCUCGUCCUAAGGCCCAAGCAUUUACGAUUACUCGUGAUUUCUUAGGUAUGUAAUACCCGUCGAUCACAAUAUCCUCCCUAGACUCAUGAGGACCCAAUAAUGGUGCAAUAGGAUGCAGUCUUAAACCUUCUUUAACCACCAUAUAUAGGUAUUCUAACUUUGGCAGAUCAGUCUCCUCCACCAUUCGAUCAAGUCCUACAAUGGUAUUUACUUCCUCUUGACACUUUUUCAUCACCCUUGGAUGCCUUAUGAGUUCUGCUAAUAUCCAUUCGAUGGAGGUAUAUGAAGUAUCGAUCGCUGCUGUGAUAAUGUCUACCAUGAUAGAUUUAAUACCCGACCUGUCAAUUGCUUUAGCUAACUCGUGAUGGGUGCUUGUGGAAUUUUUCAUCAAUGAUAGCAUUUCAUCAACAAAGUCGGUAUUUUCCUUUUGAAGUCCAUUACUUGCGUUUUGUUCAUGCUCGUCAAUAAUUAGCUCCAACAUUUUGUCAAGUUUCUUGCCGGCUUCCUUAAAGCUUCGAGUCAAUCCCUAUAUAGAGGAAAUAUAUAUUGAGAUGCGUGUUUUGUGGUUAUUAAAAUGUUAAAAAUAUAUAUAAACAAAAUAAACUUUCUUUAAAGCUAGAGAUAUAUAUUAAUUACCUGAAGGUCAAGUGGGGCUAGGAAAGGCACAAAAUCUGCAAGAUUGAACUUUCCAGCCAACAGGAAGGCCUCAUUCAUAAUACCCUUGAGAUCAAACCUAUCAUCUUUGCUACGUCCCAAAAGCAACCUAUAAGUCAUGUUCUCAAUAAGAUCAGCCACCUUUGCACUAAUAUCCACCACCUCACAUUUAGCGGCGGCAUCCUUAAGCUCCUUCACCAAUAACCCAAGCUCCUCCUUUCUCAUCCCAACAAAAGAAUUAAUCUUUGAAGGAGCAAGAAGCUCUUGUACAACAAACUUUCUUACAUUGCGCCAGUAUGGACCGUCGGUGAAGGUGAUGCCCUUAUUACCAUAUGCCAUAUAUUCCGCGGCCUGAAACUUGGGGCGGUUAGCAAAAUGAAUGUCAUGAGUCUUGAGAAAAAGCUCGGCAGCUUGAGGGGAGGAGACUACGAUAGUUGGGACGGAACCUAAACGCAUGGACAUGAUAGGACCGUACUGCUUGGCUAACUGGUGGAGGGUGCGGUGGGGGAGGUUACCUAACAUCGGGAGGCUACCGAUAAUUGGGAAGCCUCGGGGACCUGGUGGCAGUACUUUACGGUGGCGUUUUGAAGUGGUGAUGAUCCACCAGAGUGCUCCAAGGAGAAGGAAGACAAGAGUUGAUGCCCAUGCAAACAUUUUGUGUUUUAGGGUAUCUGGUAAAUGUGUUAAUUUGAUAAAUCAAUGAUUGUGUGAUUUACAGAUACUUUAGAUCUGGCUUUAUAUAGGAAAUCCCCCGAGCAUAGUUUUGUAAAACUACUAUAUGAAGUUACCCCGUGCUCACAAACUUAGAACGUUCCCAUAUAAUAUUUUAUCUUUUUGGACAUGUGGUAAGAGAAUGUUCCUGAGUUAGAACUCUUCCGUACAUCAUGAGUUCAUUUUUAUUUAUUUAUUUAUUUUCAAGAUAAGCCUAAGAGUGAAGUCAAUGGAGGCCAUGCAUGCAGCCUCUGAUAUUGACCGCUUGUACGUACCCUCUAAACAUAGUUAUUGAUCACCCACCUACCACAAAUUUUACAUCAAUAAUCAAUAACUAUAUAUAUAAGUAAUUAAUUAAGAGAUUUUAUGCAAUAAUUUUAUAAUUUUAUAGUCGUUUUAGUUGAUUAAUUAUGUGUUAAUAUCGAGUCAUUUAUUCAUGACUAGACCUUACAAAAAAUAAUUUUACUUUGGUUAUGUGUUAUAAAAGAUGAUUAUGGUUCUCAUUAAGAACUAAUUAAAAUCAUACAAAUUGUUUUUCAAAUGGUUAUGUGUCCAACAUAGGACUUAUAUCCAUUUUUUUAAAAUUUAAAACUUACAAUUAUUAUAACCAAAUUACAUAAAUUAUUUAAUAUAUUAAUUUUUUAUAUUCGUUCAUUUCUCUCUCUAAUUUUUUUGAAAACAUUCUCUCUCUAAAAAAAUUUCCUACUCCUGGACAAUGUGAUGCUAUCACUUGGUUAUAUUUCUUAGUUAUUAACUUAUUACAUUUGUCUUUUACUAAAAAUAAUAAAAAAGAAAUUGACAAAACCGAAGUAGCUAGUAAUCCAGAACAAGUGAACAUGAAGCAACCUACAACUCAAAUUUUAUGUUCUUUUUCCCAAAUAUCAAAGAUAUGAAGAAGGAAAUACAAUAGGAAAUAUAAAAAANNNNNNNNNNNNNNNNNNNNNNNNNNNNNNNNNNNNNNNNNNNNNNNNNNNNNNNNNNNNNNNNNNNNNNNNNNNNNNNNNNNNNNNNNNNNNNNNNNNNAUCUGAGGAGUAAUAAGGUGGAAAAAGGAGGCUAGAAUACAAAUCAAACUUCAAGAAAUCUGAGCUUUAAAAAUAGUGCACACAUAGUGCUUGACAAAAGUCCUAUAUGAACUGUUUUGGUUAAAAACCAAGUAAUAGAUAAAAUCAAGGUCUGGGCUAGAUAUAUGUAUAUUAUAUGAUGAUAAUUAGAAAGAUUGGGAAAAUCAAAUUAGAACAAAAAAAAGUGUUUUUAACUCUUAACGAAAAAUUAAAAUUAGUGAGUCGGGCUACUUUUGGGCUAACUAUUUCGGCUAGUUAGACUUGCUGGAAAAUUAUAAUUUCCUGGGGUCCUAUAGUAUGCAAUCCCAGGUAGCCAUAGCCUUUGGAAUGGACUAAUUUCAUGAUCGGACGACUGAGUUAAGACAUGCCAAAGUGGGUGCGUCGAAACUGCCCAAAUUUGGAAAACAUAUUCGAAGCAGUUCCCUUGCACGAAUUUUCUGGAAUUCUGUGAUUUGAAUUUAGAAAUUGUCAAAGAAUGAAAGUUGCAGCAUCAGAAGUUAGCUUCGUGUGGGCGCAAGAAUCGCUAAAAAAUGUUUUAAAACGAAUUAGUUAUGACUGUUUUAGCGAGAGGGGGUAAAGCUGGGAAAAAGUUAAAAACUGUUAUGAACGUCCACUUUUGAUGCACUGUUUGGGCUGCCUAAUGAACCUACAUUGGGUAACUUGUAUUUUUUAAAAAUAGUCUUACAUACCAUGUCUAACAUAUUCAAAAAUGAGCGUGAUCCAUCAUGCGAGCUAAAAAUGACAAAAUUGCAAAGUAACCGCGUCGCGGAGGGGGCUGCUACCCACAGCAGCAGCAGCAGCACACAGUACAGCAGCCACACACUAUAGCAGUUUGCUGGGGCCGUUUUGGCCUCUUGUUUAACGCGUUUAAAUUACCCAAAAUGUUCGGUUAGCAAUUUUUUUAAAAAUAGGUGGACAUACCACCUAUAGCAUAUCCAAAAUUGGUCAGGAUCGCACGAAUGAGACGGAAACUAAAAAUAUGCAAAGUGGACGUAAGAACAUGUUCGUUGGCGGCCUACGCCAAGGCCAGUCUGUCCAAGCCAAGGGCAGCCAGGCCCAGUCCGACGCCGCGAUGAAGUUUUCAUAACGAAACGCAAUAUUUGACGCCGUGACACGUAUUUCAAGGUGGCAACACAUAUUUUGAAGUUUUUGACAGUUUCACGUAUUCUGAGGCAUCGAGGCGGAUAUAUAACGCAAUUUAAAACCUAUAUAACGUGUACAACCGUUUGAAGCAUACUAGACGCUAUAAAAGCAAUAUGUAAACAUAAAUUUACAUGUACAUGGGUAAUAUAUCCGUGAGAUGGGAUAUGUUGACGUUAAUGAAAGCUAUUCCAAAGUUAUACCUCGGAACUGAACGGUUUUCGAAAUACAAAGCGAUAAUUGUGUAAACGGAGUUGAAAAUUCAACGCUUGACAUUAAUAAGGUAUGUGUAGGUAUAAGACAUACAAAUAGCAUAUGUCUACCUACAAACCAAGCAAAUGAGGCAAUGUUUAACAUUAUAAGAGAAGCGUAUAUGCAAAAACAUAUAUGUACUUCAUGUGUACAUGAAAUGGGAAAAAGUAAUGUAAUAUGAACGCAUUAAGCCUAGAAAGCUAAUAUUCGUGUGAAAUAGUAUUUAAAUUACUCACGAAAGCGAAAAUAAGAUAGAAUUAUGCAAAGUAAAGGCACAAAUGCACUAUAUGACUAUAAGUCUACAUAUAGAUACGUGUAAAGUCUGUAAAUGCAUUAUAAAAGGGUUAUGAACUGUAAAUGUAAUGAAUUGACAUUUUAAAAGCCGUGUUGGAACUUUUUGAGAAUGUAUAGCUAUAAUAAGCCGAAACCUAAAAUAUUCUAAAGGGAUAUGAAAGUUUCUUGGAAAUAAGAAUAUCAGAUAUUGCUAUAGUUUACGUGAAUAUUGUUAGCUAUACAGGUUAUGAGAUAUGAAUCUGUGACUAAUGUAUGUAUACAUGUGAACAUAAUUGUAUAGGAUUCGGGAAGCGAAGUUAAACUAAAGUUUGUAUCAA